RNAcentral lists this ribosomal RNA (1332 nucleotides) under Triticum aestivum (bread wheat). RNAcentral's name for it is "partial small subunit ribosomal RNA". The record is from RNAcentral. Lineage: Eukaryota; Viridiplantae; Streptophyta; Magnoliopsida; Poales; Poaceae.
AUGGAUAGUGUCAACCGUAACUGCCUCUCGUUUCUAUCUUGGAAUGUUCAAGGCCUCGGUGACAAGGACAAAUGCUCUCUUGUCCGCGGUGCCGUGAUUGAUGCUAACCCCCAUGUUGCAUGCAUCCAGGAAACGAAACUCGCCUCACUUACCUUAGGCAAAGAUCGAUCGUUCCUCUCCCCCUGUCUCUCGUCUUUCAAGCACCUGGACGCGGACGGCUCACGUGGCGGGCUGAUCACGGCCUGGGACAACGCUGCGCUCCAUCUCGUCUCCUGCCACUUUGGCAGGUACACUCUUUCCAUCGAGUUUUCCUCCACCUCCUCUGAUCUUGGCUUCGUGAUUACUAACGUCUACGCCCCACCUGACCACGCCUUCACGCAAGAUUUUGUGGAUGAGAUGACGGCUAUCUCUGUUACAGUCUCGGGGCCCUGGCUUGUGCUUGGCGAUUUCAACCUUAUCAGAUACCCCGAGGAGAAAAACAAUGACAACUUCUCCGCAUCUCUUGCGUCGAGAUUCAAUGCCAUGAUUGAUGCCCUCUCGUGGGUUGAGCUCCCUCUCUCUGAUCGCUUGUUCACUUGGACAAAUCGGCGCACCCCACCCACCCUCGCGCGCCUCGACCGUGCAUUUUUUAACGCUGAUUGGGACGUGGCUCUCCCCAACUCCACCCUUGCCUCCCGCCCUCGUGUCACCUCCGACCACGUCCCGCUCCUGGUCACUGCCUCCACCCACAUCCCAGCCUCCCGUCAGUUCCGUUUUGAGAAUAAAUGGCUCCUUGACCCCUUGUUCCUCCCUUCUACUUCUCCUUCCUGGGCUCUCCCAAGCAGGACCGCGGAUGGUGCUAAAGACAUUGCUGCUAAAGUUAAGUCCUUCCGUCGUGCUGCAAAGGUUUGGAAGGCAAGUCACCGGUUUGUCCCUCGCCAUGAUAAUAACUGCAGAUUUCUUAUUGAUCUAUUUGACUUUCUUGAGGAAUACCGUGUGCUUUCUGUGGAGGAAGUGGCGUUGCGGGUUGAUGCCCGUGCCGCCUUGGCCUUCUCGGUUCGUCAACAGGCGGCAUUCUGGCGCCAGCGUGGGAAAUUUUGCCGGGUGGGCGAGGGUGAUGAGAACACCCAAUUCUUCCACGCUCAAGCAUCGCAGCGCUUCUGGUCCAACCGGAUCAAAGCUCUGGAUGUCGGGGGCACGAUCGUCGUCGGUCAUGCCGCCAAGGCGGAGGCCCUGCAUGCCUUCUACUCCGCCCUCAUCGGUCGUGCGGGGGCCCCCGUCUGGCACUUCGACCUGCUGGCGCUGUACGAGGGGGGGCACUAUGGACGGUGCCAAGCUGGUUGCCCCCUUUGA